RNAcentral lists this ribosomal RNA (424 nucleotides) under uncultured bacterium. RNAcentral describes it as "partial 16S ribosomal RNA". It matches the Rfam family "Bacterial small subunit ribosomal RNA", at positions 359 to 775 of the family's 1533-position model. The record is from RNAcentral.
GAAUUUUGGACAAUGGGCGAAAGCCUGAUCCAGCAAUGCCGCGUGCAGGAUGAAGGCCUUCGGGUUGUAAACUGCUUUUGUACGGAACGAAAAGCUUGUGGUUAAUACCCUGGAGUCAUGACGGUACCGUAAGAAUAAACACCGGCUAACUCCGGUCCAGCCGCCGCGGUAAUACGGAGGGUGCAAGCGUUAAGCGGAAUUACUGGGCGUAAAGCGUGCGCAGGCGGUUUUGUAAGACAGAGGUGAAAUCCCCGGGCUCAACCUGGGAACUGCCUUUGUGACUGCAAGGCUAGAGUACGGCAGAGGGGGGUGGAAUUCCGCGUGUAGCAGUGAAAUGCGUAGAUAUGCGGAGGAACACCGAUGGCGAAGGCAAUCCCCUGGACCUGUACUGACGCUCAUGCACGAAAGCGUGGGGAGCAAACAG